ACGUAGGUGGCAAGCGUUGUCCGGAUUUAUUGGGCGUAAAGCGAGCGCAGGCGGUUUCUUAAGUCUGAUGUGAAAGCCCCCGGCUCAACCGGGGAGGGUCAUUGGAAACUGGGAGACUUGAGUGCAGAAGAGGAGAGUGGAAUUCCAUGUGUAGCGGUGAAAUGCGUAGAUAUAUGGAGGAACACCAGUGGCGAAGGCGACUCUCUGGUCUGUAACUGACGCUGAGGCUCGAAAGCGUGGGGAGCAAACAG
RNAcentral lists this ribosomal RNA (251 nucleotides) under uncultured bacterium. Its description in RNAcentral is "partial 16S ribosomal RNA". It matches the Rfam family "Bacterial small subunit ribosomal RNA", at positions 525 to 775 of the family's 1533-position model. The record is from RNAcentral.